GCAAAUUUUAGCAAUAAGAUGUUGGCGACCGGCGCACGGGUGAGUAACACGUAUGUAACUUGGCUUUUACACGGAGAUAGCCUGAAGAAAUUUGGAUUAAUAUUCGAUAGUAUUUUUUUUCCACAAGGAUUUAGAAUUAAAGCACCGCAAGGUGUGGUAAGAGAUAGGCAUGCGCCCGAUUAGCUUGUUGGUGAGGUAAGAGCUCACCAAGGCUACGAUCGGUAGGGGUUCUGAGAGGAAGAUCCCCCACACUGACACUGAGAUACGGGUCAGACUCUUACGGGAGGCAGCAGUGAGGAAUAUUGGUCAAUGGGCGCAAGCCUGAACCAGCCACUCCGCGUGCAGGAUGACGGGUCUAUGGCUUGUAAACUGCUUUUUUAUGGGAAGAGAUAGCUUUUUUUAAGGUGAAGAGACGGUACCAUAAGAAAUUAAGCACCGGCUAACUACGUGCCAGCAGCCGCGGUAAUACGUAGGGUGCAAGCGUUAUCCGGAUUUAUUGGGUUUAAAGGACGCGUAGGCGGUUUUGUAAGUCAGUGUUGAAAUUCUAAUGCUUAACAAUAGGAGUGGCAUUGAUACUGCAAGACUAGAGUAGAAUGGACGUGGAUGGAAUGUGUGGUGUAGCGGUGGAAUGCGUAGAUAUCACACGGAACACCAAUUGCGAAGGCA
RNAcentral lists this ribosomal RNA (666 nucleotides) under uncultured bacterium. RNAcentral's name for it is "bacterial SSU rRNA". It matches the Rfam family "Bacterial small subunit ribosomal RNA", at positions 69 to 723 of the family's 1533-position model. The record is from RNAcentral.